This 365-nucleotide long non-coding RNA is filed under the name Homo sapiens (human). Its description in RNAcentral is "HSALNT0236412". Lineage: Eukaryota; Metazoa; Chordata; Mammalia; Primates; Hominidae. The record is from RNAcentral.
UGGGGUUGGGAAGGGUGAGUGUCAGUCAGAACAUGGAGAACUCAGAAGCCAGACGGAGGGGUGUAGACGAUCCCCCGGUGAUGGGCCAGCACCCGAGCAUUUCAGAAAGGAGUGGGUUGUGGGAAGCCAACACUGUCAGCAGGAUCUGGAAUGGAUUGGAUGCCAAAGAAAGGAGUGUGGGCAGGAGCUCCUUGCAAGGUACCUACUAUAGUGGUGGGGGUGGAUUCUAGAAAUAAAAGGGGGUCAUUUGGAAAUGAAGGCGAGGUUAGAAAAAGAAAAGGAGGGAGAAGCAACUGGAUCCAUGACAAUUUAGGGCCCGUCCCCCAGCUCCCAAAGCAGUCAUUUGAUAAACCAAAUCGAGGGCA